UACGGGGGGGGCAAGCGUUGUUCGGAAUUACUGGGCGUAAAGGGCUCGUAGGUGGCCAACUAAGUCAGACGUGAAAUCCCUCGGCUUAACCGGGGAACUGCGUCUGAUACUGGAUGGCUUGAGUUUGGGAGAGGGACGCGGAAUUCCUGGUGUAGCGGUGAAAUGCGUAGAUAUCAGGAGGAACACCUGCGGUGUAGACGGCUUUCUGGACCAUUGCUGACGCUGAGACACGAAAGCGUGGGGAGCGAACCGG
This 253-nucleotide ribosomal RNA is filed under the name uncultured bacterium. RNAcentral describes it as "partial 16S ribosomal RNA". It matches the Rfam family "Bacterial small subunit ribosomal RNA", at positions 524 to 776 of the family's 1533-position model. The record is from RNAcentral.